GACGAACGCUGGCGGCGUGCUUAACACAUGCAAGUCGAACGGAAAGGCCCUGCUUUUGUGGGGUGCUCGAGUGGCGAGCGGGUGAGUAACACGUGAGUAACCUGCCCUUGACUUUGGGAUAACUUCAGGAAACUGGGGCUACUACCGGAUAGGAGCUCCUGCUGCAUGGUGGGGGUUGGAAAGUUUCGGCGGUUGGGGAUGGACUCGCGGGUUAUCAGCUUGUUGGUGGGGUAGUGGCUUACCAAGGCUUUGACGGGUAGCCGGCCUGGGAGGGUGACCGGCCACAUUGGGACUGAGAUACGGCCCAGACUCCUACGGGAGGCAGCAGUGGGGAAUAUUGCACAAUGGGCGGAAGCCUGAUGCAGCAACGCCGCGUGCGGGAUGACGGCCUUCGGGUUGUAAACCGCUUUCGCCUGUGACGAAGCGUGAGUGACGGUAAUGGGUAAAGAAGCACCGGCUAACUACGUG
RNAcentral lists this ribosomal RNA (468 nucleotides) under uncultured bacterium. RNAcentral describes it as "partial 16S ribosomal RNA". It matches the Rfam family "Bacterial small subunit ribosomal RNA", at positions 28 to 507 of the family's 1533-position model. The record is from RNAcentral.